This 253-nucleotide ribosomal RNA is filed under the name uncultured bacterium. Its description in RNAcentral is "partial 16S ribosomal RNA". It matches the Rfam family "Bacterial small subunit ribosomal RNA", at positions 524 to 776 of the family's 1533-position model. The record is from RNAcentral.
UACGUAGGGGGCAAGCGUUAUCCGGAUUUACUGGGUGUAAAGGGAGCGUAGACGGCAUGGCAAGUCAGAUGUGAAAGCCCGGGGCUCAACCCCGGGACUGCAUUUCAAACUGGAAGUCUAGAGUGCAGGAGAGGAGAAUGGAAUUCCUAGUGUAGCGGUGAAAUGCGUAGAGAUUAGGAAGAACACCAGUGGCGAAGGCGAUUCUCUGGACUGUAACUGACGCUGAGGCUCGAAAGCGUGGGGAGCAAACAGG